This 3314-nucleotide long non-coding RNA is filed under the name Mus musculus (house mouse). RNAcentral describes it as "long non-coding RNA chr1:11300159-11303473". Lineage: Eukaryota; Metazoa; Chordata; Mammalia; Rodentia; Muridae. The record is from RNAcentral.
GGGGAGUCCGAAGUUAAUGGUUAAAACCUGUCUUAAGGAUUGCACUGCCUUUAUCUGUUGUAUGAGUACCAUUAUAAUAUUAAUAAUUAUUUUCUGACUAAAGUUGGAGUUUUAUGACAUGUAUUGUCAUUUAAUUUAUAUGGAAGAUGUUGCAAAGUCCAGUGGGAAUAUGCAGAAUGCCUUUAAAGUGCAAGAACUAUUUUCUUGGCAUUUUCCAUUCAUAACUGAAGAGGAUCCACAUGUAUUGCAAGCCAGGAGUAGGACAUUAUAUAAAAUUUGACUAUAAUUUUAAAAGUGUUAACACUUAAAAACCUUUGAUAGAUGAGUAAUCAUUUUCAAUACCAUAAUAUACACAUUCUUUUGACAUUGGAAUUUUACAGGCCUUGGGAGUUUAGAACUUUAAUGUUGCACUAUCCUCUGCAACUGGGGAUUAUUGAUAAGCUAAGGAAAACACUGCUUACUGUUCUUACAACUUCUAUAUGUGGACAUAGAUUCCUGUCUACCCAUUGAGAGAUUUCAGAUCUUAUGGGGACAGAAUCAUAUUUACUAUCUUACAGAUUUUCUCAUUCGUUUUAAACAUUACAAAUUUAAUUUUGUAAAAAUAUGAGAAUUUAAGGGCUGAAAAUAUGAGAGAAAGACAGACAGAGGAUGACAAUUUCUGGUCCAGGUUUACUUGGCAGAAUAUGUAAAUGCUGGGUUUCUACUGCAUGCUCUCUCCUGGAAACCAGAAUCCUCAUCUUUAGGAGCAUGCUACUUUCUUUCCUUUUAACAGAAGUUUUCUGAUGUCUUCAAUCCCCUGUGUAUUCAUUUGGCUCCUCUUCUUGCUACAAGAUGUUCAAUUAAACAGGAAGGUAGAGCUGGGAAUGUGGCACAGUGGUUGAGUGCUUGCCUAGCACAUGUGAAGCCAUGUUAAAAUAUAUUGGCUCUCCUUUAAACCAAUGGUGGCUCACACCUGUAAUCCCAGUACUUGGAGAGUCAGUAGGAUUUUCAGGAGUUCAAGGGAAGCUUGAGAUAAAUAUGAAUGUGAGGCCAGUCUAAACUACAGUGGGAGACAUGGCCCAUGAAGGAAACAAAGAUACUACAGUGUGUGUUACAUGGGGUUGGUGCUAUUUCUGGCUCUAUUAAUUUUAACUUUGAAUAGCUCAAUUCAGAAAGAAAUGAAGUUGAUCCUAUGUUAACUUUAAUGGUGAAGAAAAUCAAUGAGAAAGAAAUUCAAGAGGAAGUAUUAGCUAACUUAAGCAAAAAAUAUCCUGCAGUAAGCACAUAGAUUUUAUAGGCAAGGUUAUUUAAAGCAAAUAAGUUUCUAUCUCAAGCUAUCAAGUAUUCUUACACAGUCCAAGCAUCUGUAGUCAUCACAUCUAAGCAGGUGUUUUCUCAGGCAUUUGGAUUUCUAUAGAAUCAUAGUAUUAAAAUUUCAAAGUAAUAACAUUGCUUUUUAAGUUAUUUGUCCUUUUAAAAAAAUUUUGAAAGUAAUUCUGGAAAUAUACCCUACUGGUAUUCCAGUCAAACUACUAAAGCUUUGUAUCUGACUGAACUGCUUCUAAAUUUUAGGAACUUUCUUUUUUAAAGUCUGUUUUUAUGUGAGUGUUCCUGUGAAACUGAGGUCUGAUGACUCUUCCUUAAGCAAUUACAACUUCAUUAGCAUACAUAAGGUUCAAUUAAAUAAGAAACACUGUAUAUUUGUGUGUUUAAAGUCUUAUAGGAGAGCCUCAGGAAAAUCUUUAUUCUGAAGAACUAGCAGGGUAAAUGUAAGAGGCACCAUUGCAAGAAUGGCCUCAGCAUAGUAGUUUUACAAAAUGGCCACCAUUUUACUAGGUGCUGCAAUUCCAUGUUGGUGAUAGUGGUUAAUACUUGGUUCCAGAAUCAUUGGAUACUUUAAUGAUUUGCCAUUGUCACUGUUGUUAACAUUCCUGUUGCUGAGCACCCCUGGCAUGUCUAUUAAAGUACAGUUAGUCUGUGUGACUCUCAGUGGUGACCUAGUGAGAAAUCUGACUCACUCAGAACAGUUUAUUCUCUUAAUGGGUUAGGUUCUGAAAUCUGCUAAGUCUGCUAAUGAUAUACAGAUGUGAGUGUGUAUGUGUGUGUAUGUUCUCUUAUAACAUAAACCACUUUUUAGUUUUGUAAACAUUAAUAAUAAACAUUAGAUUUUGGUUUCUUCAUUGUAUGGAAAUAUGAGACAUGUAUUUUAUAGAUGAACUAUAUGAUGUCUGCUGUAAACAAAGGUGCUGCCUGUGUCAUGGGUGGACUUGUUGGCUGUCCUUUGUUCACUGAUGUUCAUCUGUUAUUUGUAUGAUCCAGUUUGGUUUCUGAUUUGUCUUGUUUGUCAUCACUGUGACAAAUCAUCUGAGAUAAUUAAGUUACAAAGACAAAAGGUUUAUUUUGGCUCAAAGUGUUGGAGAUUCUAUUCCACAAUCAACUGAAGUCUGUGGUUGGGCCUGUCAUGAAGUAGCAAGUAGUGUCAUGACAGAGGAAGAGAGCAGGACACAACUCCUUUGCUCAUUAGCCACAUCACAAAGUAAGAGACAUUGGCCCCACAGUCUUUCAAAGGCAGCCUUCAACAGACACAGAACCACCCAUUGGCCUCCAUCUUUCAGAUGCUUUACCACCUCCCAAUAGCACUAUUCUGGAGAUCAAGCCCUUAAUACAGGGACCUUUGGGAGACACACCAGGGUCCAAACUAAAUCACUAUCCAGUCAAUCUCAAAUCUGCUUUUCUGGUUUACCAUUAAGAAUUAGCUUACAGUGGACAUAAUUGCUGAAUUUUUAAAUGAUUGUUACUAGAAAUACUGGUAAUAACAGAAAUAACAAAGAUUGGGAAAUUAAUUUUAGGCACAGACAAUGAUAACUAUUAUCCAUUCAUAUAAUCAGCAAAUGUUUUGAAAUUCACUUAAUAAGACUCAACCAGAAUUGAGUAUAUUGGAUAGAUUUAAAUAAAAAAGAUUGUCAUAGGGUCUCUGUAUUCCUAUAUAUACAAAGGUAACUUGUAUCUUUUACUUAAAAAUUAUAUUAUUAACAAGGUAAAUAUAUCCUAAUACUAUGUGUUUAUUAUAUACUAUAUAGUCAAGAAUACUAAGUUGUAGAAAUAUUUAGAAAGCAUACCUUUGAAUUUAAGUAUCUAAUGCCUCAAGCAAAUCUGCUAGUUUCAGAAGAAUAUAUAUUUUUGUAACUGCAAGAAUAUGAGUAGAUCAUAGCUUUUGCUUAAAAUAUUUUUGUAAGCAUUCAUUUACACAUACUCAUUUUAAUAGUAAAAUAUUAAACUGAUUCUGUAAAAGAACCUGUUUUGACUAUGUCUAUAUUUAAUAUUAUGUAAUAUCC